ACGCUCGACACCUACAGGCAGCAGUAGGGAAUCUUCCACAAUGGACGCAAGUCUGAUGGAGCAACGCCGCGUGAGUGAAGAAGGUCUUCGGAUCGUAAAACUCUGUUGUUAGAGAAGAACACGAGUGAGAGUAACUGUUCAUUCGAUGACGGUAUCUAACCAGCAAGUCACGGCUAACUACGUGCCAGCAGCGCGGUAAUCUGAGCGGGCUGGCAAGGC
RNAcentral lists this ribosomal RNA (219 nucleotides) under uncultured bacterium. RNAcentral describes it as "partial 16S ribosomal RNA". It matches the Rfam family "Bacterial small subunit ribosomal RNA", at positions 326 to 539 of the family's 1533-position model. The record is from RNAcentral.